AUUUUGAGGCCGCCGAAGAGGAUUUGGAGUCCCCAAGGAGGAAUUUGAGGCUGUUGAAGAGGAAUUUGGAGUCCCCGAGCAGGAUUUGGCAUCCCCGAGUAGGAUUUGGAGUCCCCGAGUAGGAUUUUGAGGCCGCUGAGCAGGAUUUUGGUGGCGUCGAGGAGGAAUUUGGAGUCUCCAAGGAGGAUUUUGAAGCCACCGAGGAGGAUUUUGGGCUCCCCGAGGAGCAUUUGGAGUCCCCAAGGAGGAUUUGGGCUCCCCAAGGAGGAUUUUGGAGUCCCCGAGGAGGAUUUGGAGUCCCCGAGCAGGAUUUGGAGUCCCCAAGGAGGAUUUUGAGGUCCCCGAGGAGGAAUUUGAGGUCCCCG
Molecule: long non-coding RNA, 365 nt
Filed under: Anas zonorhyncha (Eastern spot-billed duck)
Lineage: Eukaryota; Metazoa; Chordata; Aves; Anseriformes; Anatidae
Description: lncRNA (ENSAZOG00000007629.1)
Source: RNAcentral